AACCAGCACCUCAAGUGGUCAGGAUGAUUAUUGGGCCUAAAGCAUCCGUAGCCGGCUCUGUAAGUUUUCGGUUAAAUCUGUACGCUCAACGUACAGGCUGCCGGGAAUACUGCAGAGCUAGGGAGUGGGAGAGGUAGACGGUACUCGGUAGGAAGGGGUAAAAUCCUUUGAUCUAUCGAUGACCACCUGUGGCGAAGGCGGUCUACCAGAACACGUCCGACGGCGAGGGAUGAAAGCUGGGGGAGCAAACCGG
RNAcentral lists this ribosomal RNA (253 nucleotides) under uncultured archaeon. RNAcentral's name for it is "partial 16S ribosomal RNA". It matches the Rfam family "Archaeal small subunit ribosomal RNA", at positions 474 to 727 of the family's 1478-position model. The record is from RNAcentral.